This 1417-nucleotide ribosomal RNA is filed under the name uncultured Bordetella sp. RNAcentral describes it as "partial 16S-23S ribosomal RNA intergenic spacer". It matches the Rfam family "Bacterial small subunit ribosomal RNA". The record is from RNAcentral. Lineage: Bacteria; Pseudomonadati; Pseudomonadota; Betaproteobacteria; Burkholderiales; Alcaligenaceae.
AGUCGAACGGCAGCAAUGAUUCUGGUCUGGUGGCGAGUAAGAACGGGUGAGUAAUGUAUCGGAACGUGCCUAGUAGCGGGGGAUAACUACGCGAAAGCGGGGCCAAUACCGCAUACGCCCUUCGGGGGAAAGCGGGGGACUCGGGCCUCGCACUAUUAGAGCGGCUGAUAUCGGGAUUAGCUAGUUGGUGGGUAACGGCUCACCAGGCGACGAUCCGUAGCUGGUUUGAGGACGACCAGCCACACUGGGACUGAGACACGGCCCAGACUCCUACGGGAGGCAGCAGGGAAUUUUGGACAAUGGGGAAACCCUGAUCCAGCCAUCCCGCGUGUGUGCGAGCGAAGGCCUUUCUCAAGGUAAAGCAAUCUUUGGCAGGAAAGAAACGGCACGAUGGAUAUCACCUCGUGCAACUGACGGUACCUGCAGAAUAAGCACCGGCUAACUACGUGCCAGCAGCCGCGGUAAUACGUAGGGUGCAAGCGUUAAUCGGAAUUACUGGGCGUGUGAAGCGUGUGCAGGCGGUUCGGAAAGAAAGAUGUGAAAUCCCAGAGCUUAACUUUGGAACUGCAUUUUUAACUACCGAGCUAGAGUGUGUCAGAGGGAGGGUGGGACGGCGUAGCAGUGAACAGUAGAUAUGCGGAGGAACACCGAUGGCGAAGGCAGCCUCCCGGGGAUAACACUGACGCUCAUGCACGAAAGCGGAGCAAACAAGACUAGAUACCCUGGUAGUCCACGCCCUAAACGAUGCUUCAACUAGGUCGUUGGGGCCUUCGGGCCUUGGUAGCACAGCUGGACCGGUAGCUGACCGCCUGGGGAGUACGGUCGCAAGAUUAAAACUCAAAGGAAUUGACGGGGACUCCGCACAAGCGGUGGAUGAUGUGGAUUAAUUGAUGCAACGCGAAAAACCUUACCUACCCUUGACAUGUCUGGAAUCCCGAAGAGAUUUGGGAGUGCUCGCAAGAGAACCGGAACACAGGUGCUGCAUGGUUGCUCGUCAAUGUGUCGUGAGAUGCUGGGUUAAGUCCGCAACGAGCGCAACCCUUGUCAUUAGUUGCUACGAAAGGGCACCUGAAGAUCGCUGGCACAAACCUGGAGAAGGUGGGGAUGACGUCAAGUCCUCAUGGCCCUCUUGCAUAGGGCUUCACACGUCAUACAAUGGUCGGGACAGAGGGUCGCCAACCUCGCGAGGGUGGAGCAAUCCCGAACGGAUCAGUCCGGAUCGGCAGGCUGUAACCUGACUGCGUGUUUAACCGCUAGUAAUCAUGAUCAGCAUGUCGCGGUGAAUACGUUCCCGGGUCUGUACACACCGCCCGUCACACCAUGGGAGUGGCUUUACCGGUAAGGAAGUUAGCCUGAACUGUAUGAGGGCGAUUACCACGGUAGGAUUCAUGACUGGGGUGAAGUCGUAACAAGGUAG